UCGAGAAUCUUUUGCAAUGCCCGAAAGGGUGACAAUGCGACGCCGCGUGCGCGAUGAAGGUCUUCGGAUUGUAAAGCGCUGUCAGCCGGGAGGAAGGUCCAGCCUUUUAAUAAGGGGUUGGGAUUGACAGUACCGGCAGAGGAAGCCACGGCUAACUCCGUGCCAGCAGCCGCGGUAAUACGGAGGGUGCGAGCGUUAAUCGGAUUUACUGGGCGUAAAGCGUGCGUAGGCGGCUGAUUAAGUCGGAUGUGAAAUCCCUGAGCUUAACUUAGGAAUUGCAUUCGAUACUGGUCAGCUAGAGUAUGGGAGAGGAUGGUAGAAUUCCACGUGUAGCAGUGAAAUGCGUAGAGAUGUGGAGGAAUACCGAUGGCGAAGGCAGCCCCCUGGGUCGAUACUGACG
RNAcentral lists this ribosomal RNA (400 nucleotides) under uncultured bacterium. Its description in RNAcentral is "bacterial SSU rRNA". It matches the Rfam family "Bacterial small subunit ribosomal RNA", at positions 355 to 745 of the family's 1533-position model. The record is from RNAcentral.